RNAcentral lists this non-coding RNA (206 nucleotides) under Eubacterium sp. Its description in RNAcentral is "T-box sequence". It matches the Rfam family "T-box leader". From Rfam's summary of the family: Uncharged tRNA acts as the effector for transcription antitermination of genes in the T-box leader family. T-boxes are found upstream of many aminoacyl-tRNA synthetase genes and some amino acid biosynthetic genes usually in Gram-positive bacteria. The anticodon of a specific tRNA base pairs to a specifier sequence within the T-box motif, and the NCCA acceptor tail of the tRNA base pairs to a conserved bulge in the T-box antiterminator hairpin. Lineage: Bacteria; Bacillati; Bacillota; Clostridia; Eubacteriales; Eubacteriaceae. The record is from RNAcentral.
GUAAAGGCUGAGAAGAAAAAAGUAGUAUUUACGGAACGCACAGAGAGGUCGGCAAUUUGGUGUGAGCAGACUGCGGGAAAGAAAUACGAAGUGCGUUUCGGAGCUGGUUAAGUGAAACAAAGUAGCUUAACACGUUGACCGCGUUACGGUUUUUGAGUGAGGGUAUAUCCCUAACUAGAGUGGAACCACGAAACUUCGUCUCUAAU